RNAcentral lists this ribosomal RNA (253 nucleotides) under uncultured bacterium. RNAcentral's name for it is "partial 16S ribosomal RNA". It matches the Rfam family "Bacterial small subunit ribosomal RNA", at positions 524 to 776 of the family's 1533-position model. The record is from RNAcentral.
UACAGAGACUGCAAGCGUUAUUCGGAUUCACUGGGCGUAAAGGGUGCGCAGGCGGCCGUGUGUGUGAGGCGUGAAAGCCCGGGGCUCAACCCCGGAAUUGCACCUCAAACUACAUGGCUAGAGCAUUGGAGAGGGUAGCGGAAUUCACGGUGUAGCAGUGAAAUGCGUAGAUAUCGUGAGGAACACCAGAGGCGAAGGCGGCUACCUGGACAAUUGCUGACGCUCAUGCACGAAAGCGUGGGGAGCAAACAGG